AGAGUUUGAUCCUGGCUCAGGAUGAACGCUAGCUACAGGCUUAACACAUGCAAGUCGAGGGGAAACGACACCGAAAGCUUGCUUUUGAUGGGCGUCGACCGGCGCACGGGCGAGUAACGCGUAUCCAACCUGCCCAUCACUUGGGGAUAACCUUGCGAAAGUAAGACUAAUACCCAAUGACGUCUCUAGAAGACAUCUGAAAGAGAUUAAAGAUUUAUCGGUGAUGGAUGGGGAUGCGUCUGAUUAGCUUGUUGGCGGGGUAACGGCCACCAAGGCGACGAUCAGUAGGGGUUCUGAGAGGAAGGUCCCCCACAUUGGAACUGAGACACGGUCCAAACUCCUACGGCAGGCA
RNAcentral lists this ribosomal RNA (352 nucleotides) under uncultured bacterium. Its description in RNAcentral is "bacterial SSU rRNA". It matches the Rfam family "Bacterial small subunit ribosomal RNA", at positions 8 to 350 of the family's 1533-position model. The record is from RNAcentral.